This 261-nucleotide ribosomal RNA is filed under the name uncultured bacterium. RNAcentral's name for it is "partial 16S ribosomal RNA". It matches the Rfam family "Bacterial small subunit ribosomal RNA", at positions 523 to 776 of the family's 1533-position model. The record is from RNAcentral.
UAGCGAAGGGGGCAAGCGAUUGUUCGGAAGUCUGGGCGUAAAGGGCGCGCAAGGCGGCUGAUCAAGGCAGAUGUGAAAGCCCCGGGCUCAACCUGGGAAUAGCAUUUGGGACUGGAUCGGCUAGAGUUCGGGAGAGGAUCGCGGAAUUCCCGGUGUAGAGGUGAAAUUCGGUAGAUGAUCGGGAGGAACACCAGUGGCGAAGGCGGCGAUGCGUGGGAAGAUACUGACGCUGAGGUGACGAAAGCGUGGGGAGCAAACAGG